This 253-nucleotide ribosomal RNA is filed under the name uncultured bacterium. RNAcentral's name for it is "partial 16S ribosomal RNA". It matches the Rfam family "Bacterial small subunit ribosomal RNA", at positions 524 to 776 of the family's 1533-position model. The record is from RNAcentral.
UACGUAGGGAGCAAGCGUUGUCCGGAAUCAUUGGGCGUAAAGCGCGCGUAGGUGGCUUCGUAAGUCCGUUGUGAAAGUCAAAGGCUCAACCUUUGAAAGCCGAUGGAUACUGCGGAGCUAGAGUACGGAAGAGGCGAGUGGAAUUCCUGGUGUAGCGGUGGAAUGCGCAGAUAUCAGGAGGAACACCAAUAGCGAAGGCAGCUCGCUGGGACGUUACUGACACUGAGGAGCGAAAGCGUGGGGAGCGAACAGG